CCUACGGGAGGCAGCAGUGGGGAAUAUUGCACAAUGGGGGAAACCCUGAUGCAGCGACGCCGCGGGAGUGAAGAAGUAUUUCGGUACGUAAAGCUCUAUCAGCAGGGAAGAAAAUGACGGUACCUGACUAAGAAGCCACGGCUAACUACGUGCCAGCAGCCGCGGUAAUACGUAGGGGGCAAGCGUUAUCCGGAUUUACUGGGGGUAAAGGGAGCGUAGACGGCAGCGCAAGUCUGGAGUGAAAUCCCAUGGCUUAACCAUGGAACUGCUUUGGAAACUGUGCAGCUAGAGUGCAGGAGAGGUAAGCGGAAGUCCUAGUGUAGCGGUGAAAUGCGUAGAUAUUAGGAGGAACACCAGUGGCGAAGGCGGCUUACUGGACUGUAACUGACGUUGAGGCUCGAAAGCGUGGGGAGCAAACAGGAUUAGAUACCCCUGUAGUC
RNAcentral lists this ribosomal RNA (440 nucleotides) under uncultured bacterium. Its description in RNAcentral is "partial 16S ribosomal RNA". It matches the Rfam family "Bacterial small subunit ribosomal RNA", at positions 338 to 795 of the family's 1533-position model. The record is from RNAcentral.